CUCGUUGACGCCGGGAAAUCAGUGACUGUUGCUGUUGUCAUUGUCAUUCUUGCUGCUGCCAGCCUUUGCAUGGGCACCUGAAAGAAGCCCUGGGGAAAACUGUUUCUCAGAAAGUGAACAGAAUCUCCCCUGGACCUCCGUCGUCUCAUUGAUGAGACAAAUCCUGAUCCAGGAAAACUUCCGCCUUUUUCUGAUGGCGAAUUUCAUCCAAGCCUUCCAUUGACCUUUCUUCAGUAACUUCAUGGUGAUCUUCGCAGAUAAUCUUGUUCCUGAGGGUGUUCUUCCUUCUUCCAUAAGGAGCAUUGAAGACAGGGCAGGCUGUAUAUGCCCACAGUUAUGUGAUGAUUCUUCGUGUAUCUUCCUACAAGGAUUAAAGAUUUGACUCUUACCUGGCUGAGGAAAUUAAAAACCUGAUUGUAUCAGUAGUUUGAAAAAAUGACACGCAUUUAUUAAGAAAUCCAAAGAUUCAUAGCCUCAGACAUUAUACAAGAUUCAGUAGAAACAUAAUGGAUACAAGAGAUGAAAGGAAAAAGAGGAAGGAGAGGCCAAUGAGGGCUGAACGAUGUGAUAAUUAAACAUUUUAUCUUUUGAAUUUUGUCCCCCUGAGCUUUCUCAUUUAAGCCUCAGCAGAGCUGUGGAAGAAAAUAAAUGGCUUCCUGUGAGCAUGUGGUUUUGCUUUACCUGGGUGUUUAAGAUUCCUGUGACUGUUACAAGGAAGAAGAGUGGCUUGAUCAAGAAUUUGUGAAGCCAGAUUUCAAAACGCUUGGCUGAACGACUGAGUCCUGGAAUUCCAGAGCAUUGUUAAAAUUCCAUGGUCAUGACCACUACUGUAGAGAGCAUGUCCUCCUCCAAAAAAUGUAUCGGCCUGCUGUUUAUUGCACCAUUUGGAGAUUUGAUAAAUCAAAUUGUUCCCCUUAACCUAAAUAUAUCCUCCAAAAAUAUGGCUUAAGCUAGGGCCAGCCCGGUGGUGUAGCAGUUAAGUUCACGUGCUUCAUUCUGACGGCCUCCGGUUUCCUGGUUCAGAUCCCAGGUGCAGACCUAGCACCGCUUAUCAAGCCAUGCUGGAGCAGGCGUCCCACAUAUAAAGUCGAGGAAGAUGGG
This 1101-nucleotide long non-coding RNA is filed under the name Equus caballus (horse). RNAcentral describes it as "lncRNA (ENSECAG00000057524.1)". Lineage: Eukaryota; Metazoa; Chordata; Mammalia; Perissodactyla; Equidae. The record is from RNAcentral.